RNAcentral lists this ribosomal RNA (253 nucleotides) under uncultured bacterium. RNAcentral's name for it is "partial 16S ribosomal RNA". It matches the Rfam family "Bacterial small subunit ribosomal RNA", at positions 524 to 776 of the family's 1533-position model. The record is from RNAcentral.
UACGUAGGUGGCAAGCGUUGUCCGGAUUUACUGGGUGUAAAGGGCGUGCAGCCGGGCUGACAAGUCAGAUGUGAAAUCCCGCGGCUCAACCGCGGAACUGCAUUUGAAACUGUCAGUCUUGAGUACCGGAGAGGUCAUCGGAAUUCCUUGUGUAGCGGUGAAAUGCGUAGAUAUAAGGAAGAACACCAGUGGCGAAGGCGGAUGACUGGACGGCAACUGACGGUGAGGCGCAAAAGCGUGGGGAGCAAACAGG